This is a long non-coding RNA of Oreochromis niloticus (Nile tilapia), 1329 nucleotides long. RefSeq lists it as uncharacterized. NCBI's taxonomy places the organism in Eukaryota, Metazoa, Chordata, Actinopteri, Cichliformes, Cichlidae. The record is from RefSeq and is a predicted model, not a curated record. The transcript has 4 exons.
UUGAUUUGUUGUUCAGCCCAGAGGCGGGAAUUUUGGCGAACGAGAGAAGGGAGGGAGUGUCGAAGGUGAAAUCAAUAUGGUGGCAGCGGGGAGCAUUAGCAUGACCGAAGUGGAGAAUUUACUUAGUCGAAUAUUUUCUUCUGUCUUUGGAGGAAAAGGUUAAGAGACUGGUAGCUCAUCAUCCAAACGAUGUUCAAAUAACACCAACGACAGAAUCGUAAUUUUUGUGUUAUGUGGUUUCAACUAAAGGACUAGCUAACGGCAAGUAGGAAUUCACUUUACUGUUUCCCACGCCUCCUUUUUGGAGGAGACAGCUUGAAUUCAACAAUUGUGGAUUUGAAGCAUUUAUCUGACAAAUUAGGAAACACAAAUGAAGCACAAGUCACAUAUUCUGCCCUCAUGCAUGUUGAUAUUUUAUAAUACAUUCUUCAAAAACGGACCACGGAGCCUCUCAGAACCAGACAGGAGAACCACAACCAGACGCAGCUGAAGUUGCAUCAAGGCCGCGCAGAGUGCGGCGGGCUUACGGCCUCAGUAGCAGCACAGUGCUGUGACAUGAUGAUGGAGCAGUCAAAGGCUCGCUUUGAGAAAGCACAGCACUUGGUGUCGUUUGACUUCAAUGACAGGGUGAUUAGCAUGUUUGCAUCCCAGAAAACUCGAUGAUGUGAUCUUCUCUUUAAAUAAGUGACUGUUUGAGAGUGAAAAACUCCACUGUGCAUGGGGAGGAACUAUUGAGGAGUGGAGGAGAGACAGUGUUCCGCAUCUUGGGUUGAUGGAUCCAGGUGAAAGUCUCAUCGAGAUUUAAAUGUCCUUUCCAGGAGAGACCUGGCCACCAUGGAAGCAAAGUUUACAACAAAUACAACGCAUAACAUAAAAAGUGAGCACAAUUUAAAGCAAAAUUACUGUAUUGUGGAUUUCAAAUUAAAAGCCUUCCCUGUCUGCUUAGACUUGAACCUGACUGCAGCAGGUUCAAGUCUACCUAUCUGUAGGGUAGGGUAGGGUAGGGUAGGGUAGGUGUGCACUGGAUGAGUGCAGAGAACUUAAUUUUUGUGGUCGCAACUCCAUACGGUGGUAACGCUUAAAUCUCUUUUAAAAACCUGCAGCCGUCGUACCUGGACCUGGGGAGCGUUUCGUGUCAACACGUCUAACAACGAGACACAAGCAUCCUGCAGUUUUCAUCUUCACUGUAUUGGUUUGGUUUGGUAUGGUUUGGUUUGCUUCUUUCUUCAAAAUGUUGGCACCAGCAGUCUCUGUUGCUUCUUGAAGUAUUUAGUGCAGGAAUGCUGACAGAGUUUGGUACCUGCUCGAAUAAAACUUUUAACAAACUGA